RNAcentral lists this ribosomal RNA (1346 nucleotides) under Pseudorhynchus acuminatus. Its description in RNAcentral is "16S ribosomal RNA". The stretch from base 637 to 1346 matches the Rfam family "Archaeal large subunit ribosomal RNA", at positions 1423 to 2808 of the family's 2987-position model. The record is from RNAcentral. Lineage: Eukaryota; Metazoa; Arthropoda; Insecta; Orthoptera; Tettigoniidae.
UGAAGUAGAAAUUUAUUUAGUUUGUUUAAGAUUUAAUAUUGUUUUUUUUUAAAAAAGUAAUUUUAUUUUUUUUAAAAGUUUUAGUAUAAUUAUUAGAAAAGAUUAAUUUUGUGAUAGUUAAUUAGUACUGUAAAGGGAUGUUGAAAUAAAAGAAAAUGUUAUUUAUGAAAAAGUAAAUUGUUUAUUGUACCUUGUGUAUCAGGGUUUAUUAAUUUUAUAAUAUGGAUAUAUUUUUCCCGAAUUAAAAAGAGUUAAUAUAUUAAUUUAGUUAAUGUUGUAUAAUUAUUAAUAAUUGUAUAUUAGUGGUGAAAUAUUAUCGGUUUUUAGGGUAUCUGGUUUUUUAAGAGAUGAAUUUAAUUCAGUUUAAUUUAGUAAUAAUUUAAUUAAUUAUUAAAGGUGUCAUUAAGUUAAAAUAAUAUUAUAGGGGAUUAGCUCUGUAUUAUUAAUUAUAAAUUUUAUAAGAAGUUAUUUGGUUAUAGGCUUUAAAUUAGCUAUUAAUAGUAAAAUUGUUAUAAAUUAUUAUAAGUUGAUUGAAUGAUUUUAUAAAAUUUUUAAUUUGUUUAUUAAAAUGAAGUAUUUAAUUGUUAAAUGUUUAUAAUAAUGAUAAAAUUAGUAAAUAUAUUGAUUUAUAUGUGUGGUGUGAAGAAUUUUUUUAUUGAUAAUUUGUAUUAAGGAAUUCGGCAAAACUCAAUGCUCGCCUGUUUAACAAAAACAUGUCUUUUUGUGUAUAAUUUAAAGUCGGGCCUGCCCACUGAGGAAACUUAAAGGGCCGCGGUAUUUUGACCGUGCAAAGGUAGCAUAAUCAUUAGUUUUUUAAUUGAAGGCUAGAAUGAAUGGUUUGACGAGGUAUUAACUGUCUCAAGACAAUUGGUUGAAUUUAUUUUUUAAGUUAAAAAACUUAAAUAUUAAUAAGGGACGAGAAGACCCUAUAGAGCUUUAUAUAAUUAUAUAUUUGCAAUUUUAGACGGGUUCUUGUAAAUUAUAGAUUAUAUUAUGUUGGGGUGACAUGAAAAUAUAAUUAACUUUUCAUCUAUUUAAGAGACGUUGAUUUACGGAAGAAUGAUCCAAUAUUAGUGAUUAUAAGAUAAAGUUACCUUAGGGAUAACAGCGUAAUUUUACUUGAGAGUACAUAUCGAAAGAAGAGAUUGCGACCUCGAUGUUGGACUAAGAAAAUGACUGGGUGCAAAGUUUUAGUUAAUAGGUCUGUUCGACCUUUAAAUUCUUACAUGAUCUGAGUUCAGACCGGCGUGAGCCAGGUCGGUUUCUAUCUUUAUUAAUUUAGAAUAUCUUAGUACGAAAGGACCAGAUAUGAAAAAUAUUUUUUGUAAUGGUUUAAUAUUAAUACG